This 2880-nucleotide ribosomal RNA is filed under the name Stenotrophomonas maltophilia. Its description in RNAcentral is "23S ribosomal RNA". It matches the Rfam family "Bacterial large subunit ribosomal RNA". Lineage: Bacteria; Pseudomonadati; Pseudomonadota; Gammaproteobacteria; Lysobacterales; Lysobacteraceae. RNAcentral also lists the same sequence under 1 other name. The record is from RNAcentral.
GGUCAAGCGAAUAAGCGCACACGGUGGAUGCCUUGGCGGUCAGAGGCGAUGAAGGACGUGGCAGCCUGCGAAAAGUAUCGGGGAGCUGGCAACAAGCUUUGAUCCGGUAAUGUCCGAAUGGGGAAACCCACCCGCUUGCGGGUAUCCUGCAGUGAAUACAUAGCUGCUGGAAGCGAACCUGGUGAACUGAAAUAUCUAAGUAACCAGAGGAAAAGAAAUCAACCGAGAUUCCGUAAGUAGCGACGAGCGAACGCGGACUAGCCCUUAAGCUGAUUUGGUUCUAGGAAAACGCUCUGGAAAGAGUGGCCAUAGAAGGUGAUAGCCCUGUAUCUGAAAGGGCCAUUUCAGUGAAGACGAGUAGGGCGGGGCACGUGAAACCCUGUCUGAACAUGGGGGGACCAUCCUCCAAGGCUAAAUACUACUGACCGACCGAUAGUGAACCAGUACCGUGAGGGAAAGGCGAAAAGAACCCCGGAGAGGGGAGUGAAAUAGAACCUGAAACCGUGUGCGUACAAGCAGUAGGAGCUCCGCAAGGAGUGACUGCGUACCUUUUGUAUAAUGGGUCAGCGACUUACUGUUCGUGGCAAGCUUAACCGUAUAGGGGAGGCGAAGGGAAACCGAGUCUGAUAAGGGCGCAUAGUCGCGGGCAGUAGACCCGAAACCGGGUGAUCUAGUCAUGCCCAGGGUGAAGGUGCGGUAACACGCACUGGAGGCCCGAACCCACUCCCGUUGCAAAGGUAGGGGAUGAGGUGUGAUUAGGAGUGAAAAGCUAAUCGAACCCGGAGAUAGCUGGUUCUCCUCGAAAGCUAUUUAGGUAGCGCCUCAUAUGUAUCCUCUCGGGGGUAGAGCACUGUUAUGGCUAGGGGGUCAUCGCGACUUACCAAACCAUUGCAAACUCCGAAUACCGAGACGGACUGUAUGGGAGACACACGGCGGGUGCUAACGUCCGUCGUGAAAAGGGAAACAACCCAGACCCACAGCUAAGGUCCCAAAUUUUGUGCUAAGUGGAAAACCAUGUGGAAAGGCACAGACAGCCAGGAGGUUGGCUUAGAAGCAGCCACCCUUUAAAGAAAGCGUAAUAGCUCACUGGUCGAGUCGGUCUGCGGGGAAGAUUUAACGGGGCUAAGCACAGAACCGAAGCUUGGGGUGCAUAACUUUGUUAUGCGCGGUAGAGGAGCGUUCCGUAAGCCGUUGAAGGUGGAUUGAGAAGUCUGCUGGAGGUAUCGGAAGUGCGAAUGCUGACAUGAGUAACGAUAAUGCGGGUGAAAAACCCGCACGCCGAAAGCCCAAGGUUUCCUUGCGCAACGUUAAUCGGCGCAGGGUGAGUCGGCCCCUAAGGCGAGGACGAAAGUCGUAGUCGAUGGGAAGCAGGUUAAUAUUCCUGCACCUCGCGUAAGUGCGAUGGAGGGACGGAGAAGGUUAGGUGUACCAGGCGUUGGUUGUCCUGGGGAAAGGCGGUAGGUUUGGAUCUUUGGCAAAUCCGGGAUCCUUCAAGACCGAGCACCGAGACGAGCCUUUAUGGCGAAGUCACUGAUACCACGCUUCCAGGAAAAGCUCCUAAGCUUCAGCUUACGCAGACCGUACCGUAAACCGACACAGGUGGGUAGGAUGAGAAUUCUCAGGCGCUUGAGAGAACUCGGGUGAAGGAACUAGGCAACAUGGCACCGUAACUUCGGGAGAAGGUGCACCCUUUUUGGUGGCUCGUGCGAGCUAUAGCUGAAGAGGGUCGCAGUAACCAGGCCGCUGCGACUGUUUAUCAAAAACACAGCACUCUGCAAACACGAAAGUGGACGUAUAGGGUGUGACGCCUGCCCGGUGCUGGAAGGUUAAUUGAUGGGGUCAGCCGCAAGGCGAAGCUCUUGAUCGAAGCCCCAGUAAACGGCGGCCGUAACUAUAACGGUCCUAAGGUAGCGAAAUUCCUUGUCGGGUAAGUUCCGACCUGCACGAAUGGCGUAACGACAGCGGCGCUGUCUCCACCCGAGACUCAGUGAAAUUGAAAUCGCUGUGAAGAUGCAGCGUUCCCGUGGCAAGACGGAAAGACCCCGUGAACCUUUACUAUAGCUUUACACUGAACGUUGAGUUCGUCUGUGUAGGAUAGGUGGGAGGCUAUGAAACUGUGGCGCUAGCUGCAGCGGAGCCAUCCUUGAAAUACCACCCUGUCGUGCUUGACGUUCUAACCUGGGCCCAUUAUCUGGGUCGGGGACCGUGUAUGGUGGGUAGUUUGACUGGGGCGGUCUCCUCCUAAAGAGUAACGGAGGAGCUCGAAGGUACGCUCAGCGCGGUCGGACAUCGCGCACUGUGUGCAAAGGCAUAAGCGUGCUUGACUGCAAGAUCGACGGAUCAAGCAGGUAGGAAACUAGGACUUAGUGAUCCGGUGGUUCUGUAUGGAAGGGCCAUCGCUCAACGGAUAAAAGGUACUCCGGGGAUAACAGGCUGAUACCGCCCAAGAGUUCAUAUCGACGGCGGUGUUUGGCACCUCGAUGUCGGCUCAUCACAUCCUGGGGCUGUAGUCGGUCCCAAGGGUAUGGCUGUUCGCCAUUUAAAGUGGUACGCGAGCUGGGUUCAGAACGUCGUGAGACAGUUCGGUCCCUAUCUGCCAUGGGCGUUGGAGAUUUGAGAGGGGCUGCUCCUAGUACGAGAGGACCGGAGUGGACGAACCUCUGGUGUUCCGGUUGUCACGCCAGUGGCAUUGCCGGGUAGCUAUGUUCGGAAGCGAUAACCGCUGAAAGCAUCUAAGCGGGAAGCGCGCCUCAAGAUGAGAUCUCCCGGGGCACAAGCCCCCUGAAGGAACCAUGUAGACUACGUGGUUGAUAGGUCAGGUGUGUAAGUACAGCAAUGUAUUGAGCUAACUGAUACUAAUGAUCCGUGCGGCUUGACCAU